This 120-nucleotide ribosomal RNA is filed under the name Tessaracoccus massiliensis. The record is from RNAcentral. Lineage: Bacteria; Bacillati; Actinomycetota; Actinomycetes; Propionibacteriales; Propionibacteriaceae.
GUUUCGGUGGCCAUAGCGAGAGGGAAACACCCGGUCCCAUCCCGAACCCGGAAGUUAAGCCUCUCUGCGCCGAUGGUACUGCGAUGGGGACAUCGUGGGAGACUAGGACGCCGCCGGACU